CAGCAAUUUUGACAGCCUUAUGGUUUGUAUAUUAUAGGCUAGUAUACUAUGUUGAGAUAACCCUGAUGGGAUGCUACCUUGUCUCAAUACAUUUUUACUUUGAACUCUGGCCAAAGUAGCCUUAUGGUCAGGUUUAGCACAGCCCCACACAUUGUGAACCCACUUAUUAUAAUGUUCAGUGGAACACAUGAAGCUAAGUUUAAUCCAGGGCUUAAAAUUCAUUUUUCAAAAUG
Alosa sapidissima (American shad) is the source of this 233-nucleotide long non-coding RNA. RefSeq lists it as uncharacterized. The transcript has 3 exons. The record is from RefSeq and is a predicted model, not a curated record. NCBI's taxonomy places the organism in Eukaryota, Metazoa, Chordata, Actinopteri, Clupeiformes, Clupeidae.